Molecule: ribosomal RNA, 474 nt
Filed under: Streptococcus anginosus
Lineage: Bacteria; Bacillati; Bacillota; Bacilli; Lactobacillales; Streptococcaceae
Description: bacterial SSU rRNA
Rfam family: Bacterial small subunit ribosomal RNA
Source: RNAcentral
GACGAACGCUGGCGGCGUGCCUAAUACAUGCAAGUAGGACGCACAGUUUAUACCGUAGCUUGCUACACCAUAGACUGUGAGUUGCGAACGGGUGAGUAACGCGUAGGUAACCUACCUAUUAGAGGGGGAUAACUAUUGGAAACGAUAGCUAAUACCGCAUAACAGUAUGUAACACAUGUUAGAUGCUUGAAAGAUGCAAUUGCAUCGCUAGUAGAUGGACCUGCGUUGUAUUAGCUAGUAGGUAGGGUAAAGGCCUACCUAGGCAACGAUACAUAGCCGACCUGAGAGGGUGAUCGGCCACACUGGGACUGAGACACGGCCCAGACUCCUACGGGAGGCAGCAGUAGGGAAUCUUCGGCAAUGGGGGGAACCCUGACCGAGCAACGCCUCGUGAGUGAAGAAGGUUUUCGGAUCGUAAAGCUCUGUUGUUAAGGAAGAACGAGUGUGAGAAUGGAAAGUUCAUGCUGUGACGGU